Molecule: long non-coding RNA, 118 nt
Organism: Etheostoma cragini (Arkansas darter)
Lineage: Eukaryota; Metazoa; Chordata; Actinopteri; Perciformes; Percidae
Exons: 3
Source: RefSeq, a predicted model, not a curated record
GACUUUUUUCAGCGUAUUGAUUCAUUGCUGUGCUCCAGAGUCAACAGAAAUGUGCCCAUGGCAACGCUCUGCUGUGCAUGAAAAUGGUGUGUUAUACUUAGCAACGGUCUGUUAUCAA